Molecule: ribosomal RNA, 275 nt
Filed under: uncultured prokaryote
Description: partial 16S ribosomal RNA
Rfam family: Bacterial small subunit ribosomal RNA
Source: RNAcentral
UACGUAGGGGGCUAGCGUUAUCCGGAAUUACUGGGCGUAAAGGGUACGUAGGCGGUCUUUCAAGCCAGAAGUGAAAGGCUACGGCUCAACCGUAGUAAGCUUUUGGAACUGUAAGACUUGAGUGCAGGAGAGGAGAGUGGAAUUCCUAGUGUAGCGGUGAAAUGCGUAGAUAUUAGGAGGAACACCAGUUGCGAAGGCGGCUCUCUGGACUGUAACUGACACUGAGGCACGAAAGCGUGGGGAGCAAGCAGGAUUAGAUACCCCCUGUAGUCCCU